Ipomoea nil (Japanese morning glory) is the source of this 733-nucleotide long non-coding RNA. RefSeq lists it as uncharacterized. The record is from RefSeq and is a predicted model, not a curated record. NCBI's taxonomy places the organism in Eukaryota, Viridiplantae, Streptophyta, Magnoliopsida, Solanales, Convolvulaceae. The transcript is spliced from 2 exons.
AUUCAUAUAUGAUCGGAAUGCCCUAUCAUUAAUGUAAUAAACACAAUUUAUAAAUUAUAAUACAUUAUAUAAAUAAAUUUAUAUAUAGAUAUACUUUUACUUACAUAUUCACCGCAAGCUUGAGUUCUAUAUUCCGGUCACAUUUUAUAGGAUCAAAGACAUAUACUAUUCUCGAACAUACAUUAAUCACUAGAAGCAACCAAUGUGGCCUUUGCUAUCUGUGUUGGACACACAAAUCCAACUGAGUCAGUCCCAAAUUGAUUGCUGUGAAGAUACCUGAAAAAUUAUUAAGUAAUACAUUAAUAAUUAAUUAACAUUUUCAAAUUAAUAAAUAUACAAACUUACAUUAUAAAGACUUGUAUAAUGGAUACAUCAAGCCAUUUCAUAGUUAACAAGUCCUUAAUAUUAUCCAUCAUCACAAAAAUACUUCUCACGUUGGUAUGGUGAAAGACAUUAGAAUCUAAUUCCAAUUCAAAGUAGUCAGUAUCAAUAGACAUUGAUAGAAGCACAUUGUGCACCCGGUUGCACUCAACCCCAAAGGCUGUAAGGUAUCAUCAUAAACCAAAUUGGCUCGUCUAGUACUCGAUUCCUCACCACAGUCAUACCUGUUUUAACUUUUGGCUUCAUCACUAUCUCUUCCUGUGAAUAGAGGAACUUUUAAUCAUGAUAACAUAUACAAAUAAUAAGAAUUCAAUAAAUUAUACAACAAAACAAGUUCAUACCUCUCCUAUAC